RNAcentral lists this ribosomal RNA (542 nucleotides) under Meyerozyma guilliermondii. RNAcentral's name for it is "eukaryotic LSU rRNA". It matches the Rfam family "Eukaryotic large subunit ribosomal RNA", at positions 99 to 657 of the family's 3401-position model. Lineage: Eukaryota; Fungi; Ascomycota; Pichiomycetes; Serinales; Debaryomycetaceae. The record is from RNAcentral.
CGGCAAARGCUCAAAUUUGAAAUCUGGCACCUUCGGUGUCCGAGUUGUAAUUUGAAGAUUGUAACCUUGGGGUUGGCUCUUGUCUAUGUUUCUUGGAACAGGACGUCACAGAGGGUGAGAAUCCCGUGCGAUGAGAUGCCCAAUCCUAUGUAAGGUGCUUUCGAAGAGUCGAGUUGUUUGGGAAUGCAGCUCUAAGUGGGUGGUAAAUUCCAUCUAAAGCUAAAUAUUGGCGAGAGACCGAUAGCGAACAAGUACAGUGAUGGAAAGAUGAAAAGAACUUUGAAAAGAGAGUGAAAAAGUACGUGAAAUUGUUGAAAGGGAAGGGUUUGAGAUCAGACUCGAUAUUUUGUGAGCCUUGCCUUCGUGGCGGGGUGACCCGCAGCUUAUCGGGCCAGCAUCGGUUUGGGCGGUAGGAUAAUGGCGUAGGAAUGUGACUUUGCUUCGGUGAAGUGUUAUAGCCUGCGUUGAUGCUGCCUGCCUAGACCGAGGACUGCGAUUUUAUCAAGGAUGCUGGCAUAAUGAUCCCAAACCGCCCGUCUUGA